This 906-nucleotide ribosomal RNA is filed under the name Teichospora proteae. Its description in RNAcentral is "LSU rRNA". It matches the Rfam family "Eukaryotic large subunit ribosomal RNA", at positions 38 to 963 of the family's 3401-position model. The record is from RNAcentral. Lineage: Eukaryota; Fungi; Ascomycota; Dothideomycetes; Pleosporales; Teichosporaceae.
GCAUAUCAAUAAGCGGAGGAAAAGAAACCGACAGGGAUUGCCCUAGUAACGGCGAGUGAAGCGGCAACAGCUCAAAUUUGAAAUCUGGCUCCUUCGGUGCCCGAGUUGUAAUUUGCAGAGGGUGCUUUGGUGUUGGCUGUGGUCCAAGUUCCCUGGAACAGGACGUCGCAGAGGGUGAGAACCCCGUACGUGGCCGCCAGCCUUCGCCAUGUAAAGCCCCUUCGACGAGUCGAGUUGUUUGGGAAUGCAGCUCUAAAUGGGAGGUAAAUUCCUUCUAAAGCUAAAUAUUGGCCAGAGACCGAUAGCGCACAAGUAGAGUGAUCGAAAGAUGAAAAGCACUUUGGAAAGAGAGUGAAACAGCACGUGAAAUUGUUGAAAGGGAAGCGCUUGGAGCCAGACGUGCCCGCGGAUGCUCAGCCGGGGUUUUCCCCGGUGCACUCUUCCGCGGGCAGGCCAGCAUCAGUUUGGGCGGUCGGACAAAAGCCUGCUAAACGUACCUCCCUCCGGGGAGGACUUAUAGGGUAGGUGGCAUACGACCAGCCCGGACUGAGGACCGCGCAUCUGCUAGGAUGCUGGCGUAAUGGCUGUAAGCGGCCCGUCUUGAAACACGGACCAAGGAGUCUAACAUCUAUGCGAGUGUUUGGGUGUCAAGCCCGAGCGCGCAAUGAAAGUGAAGGCAGGUGGGAACCCUUUGGGUGCACCAUCGACCGAUCCUGAUGUCUUCGGAAGGAUUUGAGUAAGAGCAUAGCUGUUGGGACCCGAAAGAUGGUGAACUAUGCCUGAAUAGGGUGAAGCCAGAGGAAACUCUGGUGGAGGCUCGCAGCGGUUCUGACGUGCAAAUCGAUCGUCAAAUUUGGGCAUAGGGGCGAAAGACUAAUCGAACUAUCUAGUAGCUGGUUCCUGCGA